RNAcentral lists this ribosomal RNA (497 nucleotides) under uncultured bacterium. RNAcentral describes it as "partial 16S ribosomal RNA". It matches the Rfam family "Bacterial small subunit ribosomal RNA", at positions 28 to 507 of the family's 1533-position model. The record is from RNAcentral.
GAUGAACGCUGGCGGCGUGCCUCAUACAUGCAAGUCGAGCGAACGGACGCGAAGCUUGCUUCUCUGAUGUUAGCGGCGGACGGGUGAGUAACACGUGGAUACCCUACCUAUAAGACUGGGAUAACUUCGGGACACCGGAGCCAAUACCGGAUGAUAUUUUGAACCGCUGGGUUCAAAAUUAAACUCCGGUCUUGCUGUCACUUAUAAGAGGACCCGCGCUGCAUUAGCUAGUUGGUAAGGUAACGGCUAACAAAGGCAACGAUGCAUUGCCGACCUGUGAGGGUGAUCGGCCACACUGGAACUGAGACACCGUCCCGACUCCUACGGGAGGCACCAGUAGGGAAUCUUCCGCAAUGGGCGAAAGCCUGACGGAGCAACGCCGCGUGAGUGAUGAAGGUCUUCGGAUCGUAAAUCGCUGUUAUUAGGGAAGAACAUAUGUGUAAGUAGCUGUGCACAUCGUGACGGUACCUAAUCAGAAAGCCACGCCUAACUACGUG